UACGGGGGGGGCAAGCGUUGUUCGGAAUCACUGGGCGUAAAGGGUGCGUAGGCGGGUCUUUAAGUCAGGGGUGAAAUCCUGGAGCUCAACUCCAGAACUGCCUUUGAUACUGGCGAUCUCGAGUCCGGGAGAGGUGAGUGGAACUGCGAGUGUAGAGGUGAAAUUCGUAGAUAUUCGCAAGAACACCAGUGGCGAAGGCGGCUCACUGGCCCGGUACUGACGCUGAGGUGCGAAAGCGUGGGGAGCAAACAGG
RNAcentral lists this ribosomal RNA (253 nucleotides) under uncultured bacterium. RNAcentral describes it as "partial 16S ribosomal RNA". It matches the Rfam family "Bacterial small subunit ribosomal RNA", at positions 524 to 776 of the family's 1533-position model. The record is from RNAcentral.